GAUGAACGCUAGCGGCAGGCUUAACACAUGCAAGUCGAGGGGUAUUGGUUUUCGGACCAAGAGACCGGCGCACGGGUGCGUAACGCGUAUGCAAUCUACCUUUUGCAGAGGGAUAGCCCAGAGAAAUUUGGAUCAAUACCUCAUAGUAUAGUACUUUGGCAUCAAGGAACUAUUAAAGUCACAACGGCAAAAGAUGAGCAUGCGUCCCAUUAGCUAGUUGGUAAGGUAACGGCUUACCAAGGCUACGAUGGGUAGGGGUCCUGAGAGGGAGAUCCCCCACACUGGUACUGAGACACGGACCAGACUCCUACGGGAGGCAGCAGUGAGGAAUAUUGGACAAUGGCGCAAGACCUGAUCCAGCCAUGCCGCGUGCAGGAUGACGGUCC
Molecule: ribosomal RNA, 386 nt
Filed under: uncultured bacterium
Lineage: Bacteria
Description: bacterial SSU rRNA
Rfam family: Bacterial small subunit ribosomal RNA
Source: RNAcentral